Molecule: non-coding RNA, 174 nt
Filed under: Clostridium ihumii
Lineage: Bacteria; Bacillati; Bacillota; Clostridia; Eubacteriales; Clostridiaceae
Description: Lysine riboswitch
Rfam family: Lysine riboswitch aptamer
About the family: Riboswitches are metabolite binding domains within certain messenger RNAs that serve as precision sensors for their corresponding targets.
Source: RNAcentral
GAAUAGAGGAGCAAAUAAUAGGAUAGUAAGUACAUGUGAAAGGUAAGGGGACACCUGACGGUAUUUUAUGAAGGGAUUAUUUGCCGAAAGAGUAUGUUUGGCCUUGAACAUAUUCUUGGGGGUAGAGAGGAAUAUUUCUAUCACUGUCAUAAGUUUUUUUAUGAUGCGCUGUUU